AUUGAACGCUGGCGGCAUGCCUUACACAUGCAAGUCGAACGGCAGCGCGGACUUCGGUCUGGCGGCGAGUGGCGAACGGGUGAGUAAUACAUCGGAACGUACCCUGUUGUGGGGGAUAACUAGUCGAAAGAUUAGCUAAUACCGCAUACGACCUGAGGGUGAAAGUGGGGGACCGGAAACGGCCUCAUGCAGCAGGAGCGGCCGAUGUCUGAUUAGCUAGUUGGUGGGGUACAGGCCCACCAAGGCGACGCUCAGUAGCUGAUCUGAGAGGGCGAUCAGCCACACUGGGAGUGAGACACGGGCCAGACUCCUACGGGAGGCAGCAGUGGGGAAUAUUGUGCAAUGGGGGGAAACCUGAGCUAGCAAUGCCGCGUGUGUGAAGAAGGCCUUCGGGUUGUAAAGCACUUUUGUCCGGAAAGAAAUCGCGCUGGUUAAUACCUGGCGUGGAUGACGGUACCGGAAGAAUAAGCACCGGCUAACUACGUG
This 486-nucleotide ribosomal RNA is filed under the name uncultured bacterium. Its description in RNAcentral is "partial 16S ribosomal RNA". It matches the Rfam family "Bacterial small subunit ribosomal RNA", at positions 29 to 507 of the family's 1533-position model. The record is from RNAcentral.